Molecule: ribosomal RNA, 463 nt
Filed under: uncultured bacterium
Lineage: Bacteria
Description: partial 16S ribosomal RNA
Rfam family: Bacterial small subunit ribosomal RNA
Source: RNAcentral
CCUACGGGAGGCAGCAGUGGGGAAUAUUGCGCAAUGGGCGAAAGCCUGACGCAGCGACGCCGCGUGCGGGAUGAAGGUCUUCGGAUCGUACACCUCUGUCAGCAGGGAAGAACGGUCACUGUGCUAAUCAGCAGUGAAUUGACGGUACCUGCAAAGGAAGCACCGGCUAACACCGUGCCAGCAGCCGCGGUAAUACGGAGGGUGCGAGCGUUAAUCGGAAUGACUGGGCGUAAAGCGCUCGUAGGCGGUAUGUCAAGUCAAGGGAGAAAUCCCCGCGCUCAACGUGGGAAGUGCCUUUGAAACUGGCAAACUAGAGUGUGUGAGAGGAUAGUGAAAUUCCAGGUGUAGGAGUGAAAUCCGUAGAUAUCUGGAGGAACAUCAGUGGCGAAGGCGACUAUCUGGCACAUAACUGACGCUGAGGAGCGAAAGCGUGGGUAGCAAACAGGAUUAGAUCCCUGUAGUC